AUUGAACGCUGGCGGCAGGCCUAACACAUGCAAGUCGAGCGGAUGAAGGGAGCUUGCUCCUGGAUUCAGCGGCGGACGGGUGAGUAAUGCCUAGGAAUCUGCCUGGUAGUGGGGGAUAACGUCCGGAAACGGGCGCUAAUACCGCAUACGUCCUGAGGGAGAAAGUGGGGGAUCUUCGGAUCUCACGCUAUCAGAUGAGCCUAGGUCGGAUUAGCUAGUCGGUGGGGUAAAGGCCUACCAAGGCGACGAUCCGUAACUGGUCUGAGAGGAUGAUCAGUCACACUGGAACUGAGACACGGUCCAGACUCCUACGGGAGGCAGCAGUGGGGAAUAUUGGACAAUGGGCGAAAGCCUGAUCCAGCCAUGCCGCGUGUGUGAAGAAGGUCUUCGGAUUGUAAAGCACUUUAAGUUGGGAGGAAGGGCAGUAAGUUAAUACCUUGCUGUUUUGACGUUACCAACAGAAUAAGCACCGGCUAACUUCGUG
RNAcentral lists this ribosomal RNA (484 nucleotides) under uncultured bacterium. RNAcentral's name for it is "partial 16S ribosomal RNA". It matches the Rfam family "Bacterial small subunit ribosomal RNA", at positions 30 to 507 of the family's 1533-position model. The record is from RNAcentral.